GCUAUAAUGCAAGUCGAACGCGUUUCCGUUAUUGAUUUUAGAUGCUUGCAUUUAGAAUGAUUUAACACGAAACGAGUGGCGAACUGGUGAGUAACACGUGGGUAACCUGCCCUUGAAGUAGGGGAUAACACUUGGAAACAGGUGCUAAUACCGUAUAACAACCAAAACCACAUGGUUUUGGUUUAAAAGAUGGCUUCGGCUAUCACUUUAGGAUGGACCCGCGGCGUAUUAGCUUGUUGGUAAGGUAAUGGCCUACCAAGGCAAUGAUACGUAGCCGACCUGAGAGGGUAAUCGGCCACAUUGGGACUGAGACACGGCCCAAACUCCUACGGGAGGCAGCAGUAGGGAAUCUUCCACAAUGGACGAAAGUCUGAUGGAGCAACGCCGCGUGAGUGAUGAAGGGUUUCGGCUCGUAAAACUCUGUUGUUGGAGAAGAACAGGUGUCAGAGUAACUGUUGACAUCUUGACGGUAUCCAACCAGAAAGCCACGGCUAACUACGUGCCAGCAGCCGCGGUAAUACGUAGGUGGCAAGCGUUGUCCGGAUUUAUUGGGCGUAAAGCGAGCGCAGGCGGUUUCUUAGGUCUGAUGUGAAAGCCUUCGGCUUAACCGGAGAAGUGCAUCGGAAACCAGGAGACUUGAGUGCAGAAGAGGACAGUGGAACUCCAUGUGUAGCGGUGAAAUGCGUAGAUAUAUGGAAGAACACCAGUGGCGAAGGCGGCUGUCUGGUCUGUAACUGACGCUGAGGCUCGAAAGCAUGGGUAGCGAACAGGAUUAGAUACCCUGGUAGUCCAUGCCGUAAACGAUGAGUGCUAAGUGUUGGAGGGUUUCCGCCCUUCAGUGCUGCAGCUAACGCAUUAAGCACUCCGCCUGGGGAGUACGACCGCAAGGUUGAAACUCAAAGGAAUUGACGGGGGCCCGCACAAGCGGUGGAGCAUGUGGUUUAAUUCGAUGCUACGCGAAGAACCUUACCAGGUCUUGACAUCUUCUGCCAACCUAAGAGAUUAGGCGUUCCCUUCGGGGACAGAAUGACAGGUGGUGCAUGGUGUCGUCAGCUCGUGUCGUGAGAUGUUGGGUUAAGUCCCGCACGAGCGCAACCCUUAUUGUUAGUUGCCAGCAUUCAGUUGGGC
This 1128-nucleotide ribosomal RNA is filed under the name Lentilactobacillus kefiri. RNAcentral describes it as "bacterial SSU rRNA". It matches the Rfam family "Bacterial small subunit ribosomal RNA", at positions 46 to 1136 of the family's 1533-position model. The record is from RNAcentral. Lineage: Bacteria; Bacillati; Bacillota; Bacilli; Lactobacillales; Lactobacillaceae.